AACGCUGGCGGCAUGCCUUACACAUGCAAGUCGAACGGCAGCACGGACUUCGGUCUGGUGGCGAGUGGCGAACGGGUGAGUAAUAUAUCGGAACAUACCCAGUAGUGGGGGAUAACUAUCCGAAAGGAUAGCUAAUACUGCAUACGAUCUGUGGAUGAAAGCAGGGGAUCUUCGGACCUUGUGCUAUUGGAAUGGCCGAUAUCUGAUUAGCUAGUUGGUAGGGUAAAAGCCUACCAAGGCGACGAUCAGUAGCUGGUCUGAGAGGACGACCAGCCACACUGGAACUGAGACACGGUCCAGACUCCUACGGGAGGCAGCAGUGGGGAAUUUUGGACAAUGGGGGCAACCCUGAUCCAGCAAUGCCGCGUGAGUGAAGAAGGCCCUCGGGUUGUAAAGCUCUUUAGUCAGGGAAGAAACGGAGUUCUCUAAUAUAGGAUUCUAAUGACGGUACCUGAAGAAUAAGCACCGGCUAACUACGUGCCAGCAGCCGCGGUAAUACGUAGGGUGCAAGCGUUAAUCGGAAUUACUGGGCGUAAAGCGUGCGCAGGCGGUUUUGUAAGUCUGAUGUGAAAUCCCCGGGCUCAACCUGGGAACUGCAUUGGAGACUGCAAGGCUAGAGUGUGUCAGAGGGGGGUAGAAUUCCACGUGUAGCAGUGAAAUGCGUAGAGAUGUGGAGGAAUACCGAUGGCGAAGGCAGCCCCCUGGGAUAACACUGACGCUCAUGCACGAAGCGUGGGGAGCAAACAGG
This 748-nucleotide ribosomal RNA is filed under the name uncultured beta proteobacterium. Its description in RNAcentral is "bacterial SSU rRNA". It matches the Rfam family "Bacterial small subunit ribosomal RNA", at positions 32 to 776 of the family's 1533-position model. The record is from RNAcentral. Lineage: Bacteria; Pseudomonadati; Pseudomonadota; Betaproteobacteria.